UCGAGGGGCAUCAGUUUGGUUUGCUUGCAAACCAAAGCUGGCGACCGGCGCACGGGUGAGUAACACGUAUCCAACCUGCCUCAUACUCGGGGAUAGCCUUUCGAAAGAAAGAUUAAUAUCCGAUAGCAUAUAUUUCCCGCAUGGGUUUUAUAUUAAAGAAAUUCGGUAUGAGAUGGGGAUGCGUUCCAUUAGUUUGUUGGCGGGGUAACGGCCCACCAAGACUACGAUGGAUAGGGGUUCUGAGAGGAAGGUCCCCCACAUUGGAACUGAGACACGGUCCAAACUCCUACGGGAGGCAGCAGUGAGGAAUAUUGGUCAAUGGACGCGAGUCUGAACCAGCCAAGUAGCGUGAAGGAUGACUGCCCUAUGGGUUGUAAACUUCUUUUAUAUGGGAAUAAAGUGGUCCACGUGUGGAUUUUUGUAUGUACCAUAUGAAUAAGGAUCGGCUAGCUCCGUGCCAGCAGCCGCGGUAAUACGGAGGAUCCGAGCGUUAUCCGGAUUUAUUGGGUUUAAAGGGAGCGUAGGCGGAUUGUUAAGUCAGUUGUGAAAGUUUGCGGCUCAACCGUAAAAUUGCAGUUGAUACUGGCAGUCUUGAGUGCAGUAGAGGUGGGCGGAAUUCGUGGUGUAGCGGUGAAAUGCUUAGAUAUCACGAAGAACUCCGAUUGCGAAGGCAGCUC
This 677-nucleotide ribosomal RNA is filed under the name uncultured Bacteroidales bacterium. RNAcentral describes it as "bacterial SSU rRNA". It matches the Rfam family "Bacterial small subunit ribosomal RNA", at positions 62 to 727 of the family's 1533-position model. Lineage: Bacteria; Pseudomonadati; Bacteroidota; Bacteroidia; Bacteroidales. The record is from RNAcentral.